GUAGUUAGCCGGGGCUUUCUAAUGGGGUACCGUCAUUUUUUCGUCCCCCACAACAGAGGUUUACAAUCCGAAAACCUUCUUCCCUCACGCGGCGUUGCUGGGUCAGGCUUGCGCCCAUUGCCCAAUAUUCCCCACUGCUGCCUCCCGUAGGAGUCUGGACCGUGUCUCAGUUCCAGUGUGGCCGAUCAGCCUCUCAGCUCGGCUACCCAUCGCAGGCUUGGUGGGCUGUUAUCUCACCAACUACCUAAUGGGACGCGAACCCCUCCUUCAGCGGAUUGCUCCUUUGACCUCAUCCCGAUGCCGGGUCGUGGUCUUAUGCGGUAUUAGCACUUGUUUCCAGGUGUUAUCCCCCUCUAAAGGUCAGGUUGUUCACGCGUUACUCACCCGUGCGCCACUAAGACAUAAACCGAAAUCUAUGUCUCCGUUCGACUUGCAUGUGUUAGGCACGCCGCCAGCGUUCGUCCUCGAGCCACGAGACAACUAACUACGUACUACGUAGACGGCGGUGGCGACGGACGGCGACUAGAG
This 528-nucleotide ribosomal RNA is filed under the name uncultured bacterium. RNAcentral describes it as "partial 16S ribosomal RNA". The record is from RNAcentral.